This 1083-nucleotide ribosomal RNA is filed under the name Clostridioides difficile. RNAcentral's name for it is "bacterial LSU rRNA". It matches the Rfam family "Bacterial large subunit ribosomal RNA", at positions 1840 to 2925 of the family's 2925-position model. The record is from RNAcentral. Lineage: Bacteria; Bacillati; Bacillota; Clostridia; Peptostreptococcales; Peptostreptococcaceae.
GAUGUAUAGGAGCUGACGCCUGCCCGGUGCUGGAAGGUUAAGGGGAGCUGUUAGAGCAAUCGAAGCAGUGAACUUAAGCCCCAGUAAACGGCGGCCGUAACUAUAACGGUCCUAAGGUAGCGAAAUUCCUUGUCGGGUAAGUUCCGACCCGCACGAAAGGCGUAACGAUUUGGGCACUGUCUCAACAACAGACUCGGUGAAAUUGUAAUUCCGGUGAAGAUGCCGGAUACCUGCGACAGGACGGAAAGACCCCAUGGAGCUUUACUGUAGCUUGACAUUGGGUCUUGGUACUACAUGUACAGGAUAGGUGGGAGGCUUUGAAACCAGGACGCCAGUUUUGGCGGAGCCAUCCUUGGGAUACCACCCUUGUAGUACUGGGACUCUAACCAUAGGCCAUGAAUCUGGUCUUGGGACACUGUCAGGUGGGCAGUUUGACUGGGGCGGUCGCCUCCCAAAAGGUAACGGAGGCGCUCAAAGGUUCUCUCAGUACGGUCGGAAAUCGUACGUAGAGUGUAAAGGCAAAAGAGAGCUUGAUUGCAAGACAUACAGGUCGAGCAAGGAUGAAAAUCGGACUUAGUGAUCCGGUGGUUCUGCGUGGAAGGGCCAUCGCUCAACGGAUAAAAGCUACCCUGGGGAUAACAGGCUUAUCUCCCCCAAGAGUCCACAUCGACGGGGAGGUUUGGCACCUCGAUGUCGGCUCAUCACAUCCUGGGGCUGUAGUAGGUCCCAAGGGUUGGGCUGUUCGCCCAUUAAAGUGGUACGCGAGCUGGGUUCAGAACGUCGUGAGACAGUUCGGUCCCUAUCCGUCGCAGGCGUAGGAAAUUUGAGAAGACCUGUCCUUAGUACGAGAGGACCGGGAUGGACGUACCUCUGGUGUACCAGUUGUCCUGCCAAGGGCAUGGCUGGGUAGCUAUGUACGGAAUGGAUAAGCGCUGAAAGCAUCUAAGCGCGAAGCCAACUUCAAGAUAAGAUUUCCCACCGCAAGGGUAAGACCCCAGAAAGACUAUCUGGUUGAUAGGUCGAAGGUGUAAGUGCAGCAAUGUAUUUAGCUUAUCGAUACUAAUAGGUCGAGGACUUGACCAA